UUAGUGGCGGACGGGUGAGUAACGCGUGGAAAACCUGCCGUACACUGGGGGAUAACACUUAGAAAUAGGUGCUAAUACCGCAUAAGCGCACAGCUUCGCAUGAAGCGGUGUGAAAAACUCUGGUGGUAUACGAUGGUUCCGCGUCUGAUUAGCUAGUUGGUGGGGUAAUGGCCUACCAAGGCAACGAUCAGUAGCCGGCCUGAGAGGGUGAACGGCCACAUUGGGACUGAGACACGGCCCAAACUCCUACGGGAGGCAGCAG
Molecule: ribosomal RNA, 262 nt
Filed under: uncultured bacterium
Lineage: Bacteria
Description: partial 16S ribosomal RNA
Rfam family: Bacterial small subunit ribosomal RNA
Source: RNAcentral